UCCCAAACCAGUGGGACUCUUGACCCCGGUACCCAAAAUGUGUGGAACUCAUGAUCAAAGAAUCUUGAUUCUCGAUCACAGAGUCUCAGACAUGUAGGACUCAGAGUCCCCGAGCAUUAGGACUCUUGGUCGAAGAGUCCCAAUCCAGUGGGACUCUUCACCAGCCAUCAGAUCAGAUAGGAACCUCUAAUGUGUGUGACUCUGCAGGUUCGAAUCUAAGCCGGUAGUACAGGAACCAAUUCUUGUACUAAUCAAAGUGACCAUCUAGUAAUGGUACUCGACGUCCGGAUAGGUCGAAUAGUCGCAAUCGCAAUAUUCAGAAUCUACGUGAAUAUGGUUACUAUAUAAUUCAUCCCUUUUGACCCUUGUGUAUAGGACGACUCAGGGUUAACAUGUCAACCCUGAUCAGAUCAUCCGAAUCGUGCUCAACUCAAACAGUCCUGUGACUCCUCAUUAGGACUACUCUGUCCAAAGUUUUGCUAAAUUGAAAUACGACUGUACACAGCACCUGAACUAGAGUGGUCAAUCCCAUCUUGACACACACACCGACAAAUCAAGUACUUGACUACACCCAGCAGCCUUCCAUCACUGAAUUAGAAAUUCAGGUAGUCCCGUGCCUAAGUGCAGUGAGUUGCUUGCAAGUCACCGUGACGGUCU
This 657-nucleotide long non-coding RNA is filed under the name Elaeis guineensis (African oil palm). Its description in RNAcentral is "long non-coding RNA (EGUI_LNC065694)". The record is from RNAcentral. Lineage: Eukaryota; Viridiplantae; Streptophyta; Magnoliopsida; Arecales; Arecaceae.